Penaeus monodon (black tiger shrimp) is the source of this 226-nucleotide long non-coding RNA. RefSeq lists it as uncharacterized. The record is from RefSeq and is a predicted model, not a curated record. The transcript has 3 exons. NCBI's taxonomy places the organism in Eukaryota, Metazoa, Arthropoda, Malacostraca, Decapoda, Penaeidae.
AAGUGCUGUAUAUAACAAACGAAGAACAUACGCCACUCAUCAAAACACAAAGAUGGCGAUCAAAGCUCUGUUGAUGGCGAUGAUGAUGUAUGCCCUCAUCCUCGUGGCCAAGGAAGCUGGCAUGCCUGAUCAGCCUACCACUCCAUGUCCAAUGUCACAAACAUUCCACGUAAAGUCUUAGAGUCCACGGCUUUCUCAGAACCUCGAAAUCCAGGAUCUAGAAAUC